RNAcentral lists this ribosomal RNA (233 nucleotides) under uncultured bacterium. RNAcentral's name for it is "partial 16S ribosomal RNA". It matches the Rfam family "Bacterial small subunit ribosomal RNA", at positions 102 to 334 of the family's 1533-position model. The record is from RNAcentral.
CACGGGUGAGUAACACGUAUCCAACCUGCCGUCUACUCUUGGCCAGCUCUGAAAGGAAGAUUAAUCCAGGAUGGCAUCAUGAGUUCACAUGUCCGCAUGAUUAAAGGUAUUUUCCGGUAGACGAUGGGGAUGCGUUCCAUUAGAUAGUAGGCGGGGUAACGGCCCACCUAGUCAACGAUGGAUAGGGGUUCUGAGAGGAAGGUCCCCCACAUUGGAACUGAGACACGGUCCAA